Long non-coding RNA from Oncorhynchus keta (chum salmon), 2903 nucleotides. RefSeq lists it as uncharacterized. Lineage: Eukaryota; Metazoa; Chordata; Actinopteri; Salmoniformes; Salmonidae. The transcript has 4 exons. The record is from RefSeq and is a predicted model, not a curated record.
AACACACCCUUGGUCUAGAUUCGGUAACUUACUUUCUCAUGGAUCCCGUGUUUGUCACAGGCCUAGCCUUGUGAUCUGCGUGGAGGAUCAUUAUCUCCAGACUUACUUAUGCAGCCCAGUCCCUACAUCUUGACAACAAAAUAGGUAGGCCAGUUGAGAACAAGUUCUCAUUUACAACUGUGACCUGUCCAAGAUAAAGCAAGCAGGUGGACUCCAAUCAAGUUGUAGAAACAUCUCAAAGAUGAUCAAUGGAAACAGGAUGCACCUGAACUCAAUUUGAAGUCUGAAUACUUACGUAAAUAAGAUGGCAGUGGGGUGAACAGGCUCGGGUGGUUGAGGUCGUUGUUGAUUUUCUUGGCCUUCCUGUGGCACCGGGUGCUGUAGAUGUCCUGGAGGGCAGGCAGUAUGCCCCAAGUCAUUCGUUGCGCUGAUGCACCACCCUCUGGAAAGCCCUGCGGUUGCGGUAGGUGCAAUUGCUGUACCAGGGGGUGAUACAGCUCGACAGGAUGCUCUCAAUGGUGCAUCUGUAGACGUUUGAGAGGGUCUUAGGGGCCAAGACGAAUUUCUACAGCCUCCUGAGGUUGAAGAGACACUUUUGUGCCUUCUUCACCACACUGUCUGUGUGGAUGGACCAAUUCAGGUUGUAAGUGUACACCGACGAACUUGAAGCUUUUCACCCUCUCCACUGCAGCACCGUCGAUGUCGAUUGGGGCGCGCUCUCGCUGCUGUUUCCUGAAGUUCACGAUCAGCUCCUUCAUUUUGUUGACGUUUAGGGAGAGGUUAUUUUCCUGCCACCAAUCCACCAGGGCCCUCACCUCCUCCCUAUAGGCUGUAUCGUCAUUGUUGGUAAACAGGCCUACCACUGUUGUGUCAUCAGCAAACUUGAUGAUUGAGUUGGAGUGAGUUGGAGACGUCUGUGACCACGCAGUCAUGGGUGAACAGGGAGUACAUGAGGGGGCUGAGCACGCACCCUUGUGGGGCCCCCAGAGGUGUUGUUGCCUACCUUCACCACCUGAGGUCGUCCUAACAGGAAGUAGUUGCACAAUCAUCCCCUAAUCAUGAUCAUCACUUUAGAAUGCAAUUUGAUUAAUCAGCUAUGUUUGCUAGGGAUGGAGAAAAAGUGUGACACCAAUCAGGCCCUCGAGGACUGGAGUUUCCCACCACUGUUCUAGGGUGUCGGGUAAGGUGGAGCCGAUAUGAUCCUUAACUAGCCUCCCAAAGCACUCCAUGAUGACAGAAGUGAGUGUCAGGGGCGAUAGUGAUUUAGUUCAGUUACCUUCAUUUUCUUGGGUACAGGAACACAUUUUUUUUGUACCGUAGCUGCACCUAUGGACAUAGGCUGCUGGGAACUUCUUUUAAACAACAUUUAAGAGGGUCUUUAAUGUUGGUAGAAGUCUAUGAAAAUGCCAAAAAAAGUAAAAUUGACCAUAUUUGUUGACAAUUUUGACCAUUCGAUCAAAAGCAUAAUCCAUUGGAUUAUCCACAUUCUAACCUGAUUUGGACUGAGAGCUCUAGAGUUGCUAGACUGAAAUGGCUUGAGUCUAGAAUCUACUCCACCCUGGAGGUCCUCCCUGGCUCUCUCUAAUGUUUCUUGGAGGACUUCUACCAAGAAGAACACUGAGACAUCACUCAUUCAUUUACCUACCACCUACUAGGGAUUCUACAAUAAAUGGCCUUGAUAUCAGCUAUACCAGGUCAAGUACGAUAGUUACAUUAGACAGACAGACAUGAUGCAGUCUAGAUGGUAAUGUAUGAAUGGAUUUCGAGCUACAUUUUACAUUUUAGGGUAAUGCCAUGCUCAAGGGCACAUCGACAGAAUCUUCACCUAGUCGGCUCAGAGAGUCGAACCAGCAUUGUUUUGGUUACUGGUCCAACGCUCUGAACCAGAGUUGUGGACUGGAGUCACAUGACUUGGAUUUGAGUCGGACUCAAAUCACACAUUUGAUGACUUGAGACUGGACUUGGACUUGGAGCAUCAAGACUCCAGACUCAACUUUGUCUUGAGACUGAUGACUUGAAAUGAUCUGGCCAAGUUUUUUAAUGUUUUGUCACUCAUUUUGUGGCACAGUCUACAUGGAUUAAUCUACACGCAGCCAGAAACAGUACCCGCAUCACCGCCCUUGUAAAAAAAAAUGCAACAGAUUGGCACUCCGAUUGGACCAGAAAACUGUCAGUCAACAUAUGUCUCUGUGAGCUCGCGAACAGAUUGCUGAUUUGCUGGAUAGCUACAGGAUUCGGUGCAGCGCAAACGUUAAAUUGUAGCGUGAGAGGUUUACCAUAAAAAUAAAUAUGCAGCUCCAAAAAUAGUUUGCUGAUCAAGAAUAUGAACUGUUUACAUUGCAAGCUAACCAGUAACGGGGCAACAAUUACUAGCAUAGGACUACUGGUCUUUUGGUAUGUAACGAUUGCUUGAUAUUGAUAAUUUACUUAUGAAGUUUGCAUUUGGAAUGUAUUGUUCAAAUCUAAUGUGGCAAGGAAGCACCAUAAACGCUGUUCUCAAUUUGCACUCUCCAAAUUCCCGCCAUUGGAGAGUGCUUUUUUUCCUCUUGUUAAACUAUUUGCUGUUGCUUUCACAUGUUUAAAUGCAUAGGCACUAUGUGGUAAAUCUAUUUCCCAUCUAAUACUGCAAUAAUUGCUAGCGUUUCAUCGUUCCAUUACCUUACAGUUUAUUGAAACACGUAGAGAUAGAUGUCUGUUUCGUGCUUAUUAUGUACUGUAUAGUACUGUACUGUAUCGAUUUGGUUUAUCGGAUAGGACAGGUUAAGCCUGAUACAGAGGCUAUUUCUUUUGGGCUAAUACCCGUGUAUAUUUGGUAAAUCUACUUGUAUAUUUUGUAUGAUAUGGCGCUUUCACCAUUGGAUCACCAAAGACCUGUAAAUAAAUCUACACUCUGAGCACGUCAA